RNAcentral lists this ribosomal RNA (253 nucleotides) under uncultured bacterium. Its description in RNAcentral is "partial 16S ribosomal RNA". It matches the Rfam family "Bacterial small subunit ribosomal RNA", at positions 524 to 776 of the family's 1533-position model. The record is from RNAcentral.
UACAGGGGGGGCAAGCGUUGUUCGGAAUUACUGGGCGUAAAGGGCUCGUAGGCGGCCAACUAAGUCCGACGUGAAAUCCCAAGGCUUAACCUUGGAACUGCGUCGGAUACUGGAUGGCUUGAAUUCGGGAGAGGGAUGCAGAAUUCCAGGUGUAGCGGUGAAAUGCGUAGAUAUCUGGAGGAACACCGGUGGCGAAGGCGGCAUCCUGGACCGAUACUGACGCUGAGGAGCGAAAGCCAGGGGAGCAAACGGG